This is a non-coding RNA of Morus notabilis, 107 nucleotides long. Lineage: Eukaryota; Viridiplantae; Streptophyta; Magnoliopsida; Rosales; Moraceae. The record is from Rfam.
AACCCAUGGUGAGGACAUUUUCUGAGAAGAUCCUUGUACCUCUCCCAUGCUUCAUAUAAUGAUUCAGAAUCCAACUGUAUGAACUGGGUGAUGUCAUUCCUCAUCUU